CACGUAGGGCGCAAGCGUUGUCCGGAAUUAUUGGGCGUAAAGAGCUCGUAGGCGGUCUGUUGCGUCCGCUGUGAAAACUCGGGGCUUAACCCCGAGCCUGCAGUGGAUACGGGCAGACUAGAGGUAGGUAGGGGAGAAUGGAAUUCCCGGUGUAGCGGUGAAAUGCGCAGAUAUCGGGAAGAACACCCGUGGCGAAGGCGGCUCUCUGGGACGGUACUGACGCUGAGACGCGAAAGCGUGGGGAGCGAACAGG
RNAcentral lists this ribosomal RNA (253 nucleotides) under uncultured bacterium. RNAcentral's name for it is "partial 16S ribosomal RNA". It matches the Rfam family "Bacterial small subunit ribosomal RNA", at positions 524 to 776 of the family's 1533-position model. The record is from RNAcentral.